ACACUAUCAUUAACUGAAUCCAUAGGUUAAUGAGGCGAACCGGGGGAACUGAAACAUCUAAGUACCCCGAGGAAAAGAAAUCAACCGAGAUUCCCCCAGUAGCGGCGAGCGAACGGGGAGGAGCCCAGAGCCUGAAUCAGUGUGUGUGUUAGUGGAAGCGUCUGGAAAGGCGCGCGAUACAGGGUGACAGCCCCGUACACAAAAAUGCACAUGCUGUGAGCUCGAUGAGUAGGGCGGGACACGUGGUAUCCUGUCUGAAUAUGGGGGGACCAUCCUCCAAGGCUAAAUACUCCUGACUGACCGAUAGUGAACCAGUACCGUGAGGGAAAGGCGAAAAGAACCCCGGCGAGGGGAGUGAAAAAGAACCUGAAACCGUGUACGUACAAGCAGUGGGAGCACAGAGCAAUCUGUGUGACUGCGUACCUUUUGUAUAAUGGGUCAGCGACUUAUAUUCUGUAGCAAGGUUAACCGAAUAGGGGAGCCGAAGGGAAACCGAGUCUUAACCGGGCGUUAAGUUGCAGGGUAUAGACCCGAAACCCGGUGAUCUAGCCAUGGGCAGGUUGAAGGUUGGGUAACACUAACUGGAGGACCGAACCGACUAAUGUUGAAAAAUUAGCGGAUGACUUGUGGCUGGGGGUGAAAGGCCAAUCAAACCGGGAGAUAGCUGGUUCUCCCCGAAAGCUAUUUAGGUAGCGCCUCGUGAAUUCAUCUCCGGGGGUAGAGCACUGUUUCGGCAAGGGGGUCAUCCCGACUUACCAACCCGAUGCAAACUGCGAAUACCGGAGAAUGUUAUCACGGGAGACACACGGCGGGUGCUAACGUCCGUCGUGAAGAGGGAAACAACCCAGACCGCCAGCUAAGGUCCCAAAGUCAUGGUUAAGUGGGAAACGAUGUGGGAAGGCCCAGACAGCCAGGAUGUUGGCUUAGAAGCAGCCAUCAUUUAAAGAAAGCGUAAUAGCUCACUGGUCGAGUCGGCCUGCGCGGAAGAUGUAACGGGGCUAAACCAUGCACCGAAGCUGCGGCAGCGACACUGUGUGUUGUUGGGUAGGGGAGCGUUCUGUAAGCCUGUGAAGGUGUGCUGUGAGGCAUGCUGGAGGUAUCAGAAGUGCGAAUGCUGACAUAAGUAACGAUAAAGCGGGUGAAAAGCCCGCUCGCCGGAAGACCAAGGGUUCCUGUCCAACGUUAAUCGGGGCAGGGUGAGUCGACCCCUAAGGCGAGGCCGAAAGGCGUAGUCGAUGGGAAACAGGUUAAUAUUCCUGUACUUGGUGUUACUGCGAAGGGGGGACGGAGAAGGCUAUGUUGGCCGGGCGACGGUUGUCCCGGUUUAAGCGUGUAGGCUGGUUUUCCAGGCAAAUCCGGAAAAUCAAGGCUGAGGCGUGAUGACGAGGCACUACGGUGCUGAAGCAACAAAUGCCCUGCUUCCAGGAAAAGCCUCUAAGCAUCAGGUAACAUCAAAUCGUACCCCAAACCGACACAGGUGGUCAGGUAGAGAAUACCAAGGCGCUUGAGAGAACUCGGGUGAAGGAACUAGGCAAAAUGGUGCCGUAACUUCGGGAGAAGGCACGCUGAUAUGUAGGUGAAGUCCCUCGCGGAUGGAGCUGAAAUCAGUCGAAGAUACCAGCUGGCUGCAACUGUUUAUUAAAAACACAGCACUGUGCAAACACGAAAGUGGACGUAUACGGUGUGACGCCUGCCCGGUGCCGGAAGGUUAAUUGAUGGGGUCAGCGCAAGCGAAGCUCUUGAUCGAAGCCCCGGUAAACGGCGGCCGUAACUAUAACGGUCCUAAGGUAGCGAAAUUCCUUGUCGGGUAAGUUCCGACCUGCACGAAUGGCGUAAUGAUGGCCAGGCUGUCUCCACCCGAGACUCAGUGAAAUUGAACUCGCUGUGAAGAUGCAGUGUACCCGCGGCAAGACGGAAAGACCCCGUGAACCUUUACUAUAGCUUGACACUGAACAUUGAGCCUUGAUGUGUAGGAUAGGUGGGAGGCUUUGAAGUGUGGACGCCAGUCUGCAUGGAGCCGACCUUGAAAUACCACCCUUUAAUGUUUGAUGUUCUAACGUGGACCCGUGAUCCGGGUUGCGGACAGUGUCUGGUGGGUAGUUUGACUGGGGCGGUCUCCUCCUAAAGAGUAACGGAGGAGCACGAAGGUUGGCUAAUCCUGGUCGGACAUCAGGAGGUUAGUGCAAUGGCAUAAGCCAGCUUGACUGCGAGCGUGACGGCGCGAGCAGGUGCGAAAGCAGGUCAUAGUGAUCCGGUGGUUCUGAAUGGAAGGGCCAUCGCUCAACGGAUAAAAGGUACUCCGGGGAUAACAGGCUGAUACCGCCCAAGAGUUCAUAUCGACGGCGGUGUUUGGCACCUCGAUGUCGGCUCAUCACAUCCUGGGGCUGAAGUAGGUCCCAAGGGUAUGGCUGUUCGCCAUUUAAAGUGGUACGCGAGCUGGGUUUAGAACGUCGUGAGACAGUUCGGUCCCUAUCUGCCGUGGGCGCUGGAGAACUGAGGGGGGCUGCUCCUAGUACGAGAGGACCGGAGUGGACGCAUCACUGGUGUUCGGGUUGUCAUGCCAAUGGCACUGCCCGGUAGCUAAAUGCGGAAGAGAUAAGUGCUGAAAGCAUCUAAGCACGAAACUUGCCCCGAGAUGAGUUCUCCCUGACCCUUUAAGGGUCCUGAAGGAACGUUGAAGACGACGACGUUGAUAGGCCGGGUGUGUAAGCGCAGCGAUGCGUUGAGCUAACCGGUACUAAUGAACCGUGAGGCUUAACCUU
Molecule: ribosomal RNA, 2762 nt
Filed under: Escherichia coli O157:H7 str. T1543_06
Lineage: Bacteria; Pseudomonadati; Pseudomonadota; Gammaproteobacteria; Enterobacterales; Enterobacteriaceae
Description: bacterial LSU rRNA
Rfam family: Bacterial large subunit ribosomal RNA
Source: RNAcentral